AGCCGGGUCGUCUAGCGGCCAAGGAUGCGGGGCUCUGGCGCCCCCGUGACCGGGGUUCGAAUCCCCGCCCGGCUA
Molecule: transfer RNA, 75 nt
Filed under: Desulfurococcus mucosus DSM 2162
Lineage: Archaea; Thermoproteati; Thermoproteota; Thermoprotei; Desulfurococcales; Desulfurococcaceae
Description: tRNA-Gln
Rfam family: tRNA
About the family: Transfer RNA (tRNA) molecules are approximately 80 nucleotides in length. Their secondary structure includes four short double-helical elements and three loops (D, anti-codon, and T loops).
Source: RNAcentral